GACAAUAUGUAAUUCACUCAUGGGAGAUCAGACUCGAUCCUCGUUCAAGUACCUCCUUAAUUAAUAAAUUCUAAAGACUGCGUAUCACACCAAAAAUUAGUACAUAUUUCUCAAGUGUGUGCAUAUAUAUAUAUAUAGCUUGAAGAUUGAUAAUAUAGAGAGCUAGGCAAAAAACAGGAAAGAGUUGAGGAAGAAACAGUUAGCUAGCUUACUUGGCCGGAGGUUUAGCAACCGGAUCAUUAGAGGCGGCACCACCACCACCACCAAGAAGGUUCUUCUCUUUGGGCAGAUUCUUGAUCACAACUGAUGAGUCCGCUUGAUCCACCCCAUCAUCAGCCAUAAUAUUUUCUGUGGAAGAAACUAGAUUCAGCUUCAAAUCCACAACAUGAGUUUCAGCAAACCCUCUCUUCCCAUUAACAUUUGUAGUACUAACAUUAAUUUUGGCCUUCGUAUCGCCGGAAAAUCCAAGUCCUAGCCGUAAUUCCGUCUCCUCAAAAUUCAUCCUUCCUUUUUCUCCUCCCAUAAGUCUUGAUUAAUUACAAUCACAACUAAACAAUUUCUCUCCAAAACUAAUUUAAUUUCUUGUACGUGUUUGAAUAUUUCCUUUCCUUUCCUUUCCUUUCCUUUCUUGCCUUGUCUUGUUGAUAUGUUGUGGGGUGGAAUUAAGUUGGAGUUGUGUUUUAUUUUGGAAGUCAGAGAAAUUGUGAAAGUAAGUAAGUAAUUAAGUUGGUGUAUAGUAUAGUAUGUAUAGUAUAGUAAGAUAGAAAUAAUUAAUUAUAGAUAGAAAAUAAAGGGAAUCGAAGGGAAGGGGGUGUUUGGGUGAAAUGGGGUAUUAGUAUACGGAUGGUAUGGUAUGUAAUAAUGGACGGGCCUCAUUCGUCUUUUACUCACUUUCAUAAUUGCGGUCUUGUAUCGUGCCUACUUUCUUAGCUGGAUCUUCCCAUCUUGCUGGGGGCAAUCCAUACAUACUUGCCCGUGCAUAUAUAUAUAUAUAUAGAGAGAGAGNNNNNNNNNNNNNNNNNNNNNNNNNNNNNNNNNNNNNNNNNNNNNNNNNNNNNNNNNNNNNNNNNNNNNNNNNNNNNNNNNNNNNNNNNNNNNNNNNNNNAUAUAUAUAUAUAUAUAUAUAUAUAUGGGAUGCUUAAGUGUAAAUUAAAUAAGUUAUGUUCAAACCUACGUACGUGUCCUGUACAAAUUUUGAUAUAAAGUGGUGAAAUUUAGUUUGUGAGAAAUCUAGCUAGCUAGCUAGCUAAUUGGUUAAUGUGUUUACGUACGUACGUACCAAUGGUGAAGGAAUUGAACAUCUUGCCUAGGGCAUCAGAAAGUUCUUGGUAGCUCUUGUACAUCUUGAGAUCGACUUUGCGGAGAUAUGGUGCACCGUCUAAGCUCACCUUCACUAAGGUGGCGCCGGCAGAACUGCCAAUGUGGCUGCUCACCUUCUCACUAGUCUCCUCACGAGUACUGCUGCUUUUCUGGACGGAAAGGAUAUUCUUUCGGAAUGAUCGAACGGGCGGCCAACCCACAACCUGUGCCCUGAUCCCAAAAAAGUAACUCUUAAUUUUAUAAACAGUCUUAUUAAUUGUAAAAUUUAUAAAUGUUAAAUUUUUUUAAUACUCUUUUAUUUCUUAAUUUGAGGUAUUUUUUUGAACAUUUAACAACAUCCUUAUUUCAUCAAGUGAGAAGUGAAUAUAAUUAGAAUAAGGUGUUAGCCCGUUGACAAUAUAUAAUUCACUCAUGGGAGAUCAGACUCGAUCCUCGUUCAAGUACCUCCUUAAUUAAUAAAUUCUAAAGACUGCUGCUAUUCACACCAAAAAUGAGUACAUAUUUCUCAAGUGUGUGCAUAUAUAUAUAUAUAUAUAUAUAUAUAUAUAUAUACACCCAAAUUAAACCAUACAAACUUAUAACAUUGAUGACACCUUUAAAAUUUUAAGAUCGAUUCAUAUAUACUUAACAUAUUUUAUUUAGUUUGAUAUCAUAUAUAUAUAUAUAUAUAGCUUGAAGAUUGAUAAUAUAGAGAGCUAGGCAAAAAAUAGGAAAAAGUUGAGGAAGAAACAGUUAGCUAGCUUACUUGGCCGGAGGUUUAGCAACCGGAUCACCACCACCACCACCACCACCACCACCAAGAAGGUUCUUCUCUUUGGGCAGAUUCUUGAUCACAACUGAUGAGUCCGCUUGAUCCAC
Molecule: long non-coding RNA, 2178 nt
Filed under: Panax ginseng (ginseng)
Lineage: Eukaryota; Viridiplantae; Streptophyta; Magnoliopsida; Apiales; Araliaceae
Description: long non-coding RNA (PGIN_LNC000862)
Source: RNAcentral